CUUAAAUAUUAAACUAUGUACAGAUGCUAUGAUAACAGUUUCUUUUUAACGGGCUGACGUUCGACUUUCAACCGUAGCAAUCUAGAUUCAUCAAAUUACAAGAUAUACUUAAUAAGAAAAGUAUAGAGUUAAAAUGUAUAAAUGUAUGGAUCUACAAACGUAUACGGUAUCAAUCCUGCUUCAUUCAGUCGUUUAACUUUUUUUUUUUUUAAGUAAGCUUUUAUAAAUUUUUUUUUUUUUUUUAGUUAAUCCGUAAAUGUUGUGCCAUCGCCAUUCGACUUGUUAUUUUGAUAAUCAGCCUCUCCUCCUCCUUUG
Molecule: non-coding RNA, 315 nt
Organism: Pelobates cultripes (western spadefoot toad)
Lineage: Eukaryota; Metazoa; Chordata; Amphibia; Anura; Pelobatidae
Source: the annotation of a GenBank genome assembly